RNAcentral lists this ribosomal RNA (253 nucleotides) under uncultured bacterium. RNAcentral describes it as "partial 16S ribosomal RNA". It matches the Rfam family "Bacterial small subunit ribosomal RNA", at positions 524 to 776 of the family's 1533-position model. The record is from RNAcentral.
UACGAAGGGGGCUAGCGUUGUUCGGAUUUACUGGGCGUAAAGCGCAUGUAGGCGGGUCGUUCAGUUGGGGGUGAAAUCACGAGGCUCAACCUCGGAACUGCCUUCAAAACUGGCGACCUGGAGCAAGAUAGAGGCAAGUGGAAUUGCGAGUGUAGAGGUGAAAUUCGUAGAUAUUCGCAGGAACACCAGUGGCGAAGGCGACUUGCUGGAUCUUUGCUGACGCUGAGAUGUGAAAGCGUGGGGAGCAAACAGG